RNAcentral lists this ribosomal RNA (497 nucleotides) under uncultured bacterium. Its description in RNAcentral is "bacterial SSU rRNA". It matches the Rfam family "Bacterial small subunit ribosomal RNA", at positions 30 to 525 of the family's 1533-position model. The record is from RNAcentral.
AUUGAACGCUGGCGGAAUGCUUUACACAUGCAAGUCGAACGGUAGAGGGGGCAACCCCUUGAGAGUGGCGAACGGGUGAGUAAUAUAUCGGAACGUGCCAGUCGUGGGGAUAACGUAGCGAAAGUUACGCUAAUACCGCAUACGAUCUAAGGAUGAAAGCGGGGGAUCGCAAGACCUCGCGCGAUUGGAGCGGCCGAUAUCAGAUUAGGUAGUUGGUGAGGUAAAGGCUCACCAAGCCAACGAUCUGUAGCUGGUCUGAGAGGACGACCAGCCACACUGGGACUGAGACACGGCCCAGACUCCUACGGGAGGCAGCAGUGGGGAAUUUUUGGGACAAUGGGCGCAAGCCUGAUCCAGCAAUGCCGCGUGCAGGAUGAAGGCCCUCGGGUUGUAACUGCUUUUGUACGGAACGAAACGGUGAGCUCUAAUACAGUUUGCUAAUGACGGUACCGUAAGAAUAAGCACCGGCUAACUACGUGCCAGCAGCCGCGGUAAAG